Molecule: long non-coding RNA, 314 nt
Filed under: Daucus carota (carrot)
Lineage: Eukaryota; Viridiplantae; Streptophyta; Magnoliopsida; Apiales; Apiaceae
Description: long non-coding RNA (DCAR_LNC002926)
Source: RNAcentral
GCUGAUAUGUUGCUGACUUAACAUCAAGUUAGAGAGCAAUGAAGGUUGAGCUGGAAUGAGAGCCACUGGAACUCUGGAAGAGAAAGGGAGAAAGACUGCAGUUCUCGUAAAGUUUGUGAAGCAACUAGAUUUGUCUGUAUAGUUUUAAUGGAUGCAGAUAAUUUGUUUUUAAAGAGCAUCAAAGUUCACUUACGUCCAUCUUAAGGAGUUGGUUUUAGCAUGGAAAGAGAAUCAAAGGAGGUAAUAUUAUCUUUACAUUCACUUCAGAAGUGGGAUGAAAAAGGAAGUUGUUCCACUUCUCUUCAUUACUUUCC